UGAAUCACACUUUGGAGCCCUAAGGGACACCCCUACUUAUCAUAACACAGAAAGCCAAUGUGCCCACUCUUCCACUUUAAAAGGAACAACUGAGCUGCACAAGUCACAAAAAUCAAGAUGGUGUCAGAAAUAGUGAAUUUCACAUUCAGAACCAGCAAAACAACUAUCAGAUGGGGAGUCCGGCAUUGAGGUGACUGGGUUUUGGUGCUCUCACAGGAAUCAAAGAUAUUAUGAAUAAGGAUUCACAAGCAGAUAUAAGGACCCCUAUAGAUUUCCAGAAAUACUUGGGUAGAGUCACCACAAGAAAAGACCGAUCUAUCUUUCAAUGGAAGGGAUCAGAGCAUCAAAAUUGGAAGCAUUCAUGUAAAUGUCACUUCAUCUAUUCCCUCAAAGUGACUACAUGUAAAAGAACAUGGUCACCCAACUGUGGAUUCAGAAGGAAUAACCUGAAAAGGAAAUGUGAAAGUCCUGUGCUAGCUACAAAUUAAGAUACAGGAAUUCAAUGUAUGAAAGAGAUAUUAUCAAGAAACGAAAAGGAGAAACCGACAGAAUGGAAGAAAAUACUUGUAAAUCAUACAUCUGACAAGAGAUUAAUAUCCACAGUAUUUAAGUACUCCUAUAACUCAACAACAACAAAUAAACAACCCGAUUUAAAAAUAGGUAAAGAAUUUGAACAGAUGUUUUUCCAGAGAAUAUAUGCAAAUGACCAAUAAGUAUAUAAAAAGAUACUCAACAUCAUUUAUCAUUAGAGAAAAGCAAAUCAAAACCACAAUGAGAUACCACUUCACAUCUACUAAGGUGGCUAUCAUCAUCAUCAUCAUCAUCAU
This is a long non-coding RNA of Canis lupus familiaris (dog), 827 nucleotides long. RefSeq lists it as uncharacterized. The record is from RefSeq and is a predicted model, not a curated record. The transcript is spliced from 3 exons. NCBI's taxonomy places the organism in Eukaryota, Metazoa, Chordata, Mammalia, Carnivora, Canidae.